GGGGGAGCAAGCGUUGUUCGGAUUUACUGGGCGUAAAGGGCGUGUAGGCGGCCACCGCAAGUCGACUGUGAAAUCUCCGGGCUUAACUCGGAAAGGUCAGCCGAUACUGCGGGGCUAGAGUGCAGAAGGGGCAACUGGAAUUCUCGGUGUAGCGGUGAAAUGCGUAGAUAUCGAGAGGAACACCUGCGGCGAAGGCGGGUUGCUGGGCUGACACUGACGCUGAAACGCGAAAGCUAGGGGAGCGAACGGGAUUAGAUACCCCGGUAGUCCUAGCCUUAAACGAUGAAUGCUUGGUGUCUGGGGUUUUAUAGUCCCCGGGUGCCGUCGCUAACGCUUUAAGCAUUCCGCCUGGGGAGUACGGUCGCAAGACUG
RNAcentral lists this ribosomal RNA (372 nucleotides) under uncultured organism. Its description in RNAcentral is "bacterial SSU rRNA". It matches the Rfam family "Bacterial small subunit ribosomal RNA", at positions 528 to 896 of the family's 1533-position model. The record is from RNAcentral.